GACGAACUGUCCUAACGUUGUUCGGAAUCACUGGGCUUAAAGGGCGCGUAGGCGGUCCGACAAGUCAGGGGUGAAAUCCUGCAGCUUAACUGCAGAAGUGCCUCUGAUACUGUCGGUCUUGAGGGAGAUAGGGGUGUGCGGAACUUCCAGUGGAGCGGUGAAAUGCGUUGAUAUUGGAAGGAACGCCGGAGGCGAAAGCGGCGCACUGGAUCUCUUCUGACGCUGAGGCGCGAAAGCUAGGGGAGCAAACGGG
This 253-nucleotide ribosomal RNA is filed under the name uncultured bacterium. RNAcentral's name for it is "partial 16S ribosomal RNA". It matches the Rfam family "Bacterial small subunit ribosomal RNA", at positions 524 to 776 of the family's 1533-position model. The record is from RNAcentral.